This 795-nucleotide ribosomal RNA is filed under the name Colletotrichum phormii. RNAcentral's name for it is "eukaryotic LSU rRNA". It matches the Rfam family "Eukaryotic large subunit ribosomal RNA", at positions 1 to 825 of the family's 3401-position model. Lineage: Eukaryota; Fungi; Ascomycota; Sordariomycetes; Glomerellales; Glomerellaceae. The record is from RNAcentral.
GUUGACCUCGGAUCAGGUAGGACUACCCGCUGAACUUAAGCAUAUCAAUAAGCGGAGGAAAAGAAACCAACAGGGAUUGCCCCAGUAACGGCGAGUGAAGCGGCAACAGCUCAAAUUUGAAAUCUGGCCCCAGGCCCGAGUUGUAAUUUGCAGAGGAUGCUUUUGGCGCGGUGCCUUCCGAGUUCCCUGGAACGGGACGCCAUAGAGGGUGAGAGCCCCGUACGGUUGGACACCAAGCCUUUGUAAAGCUCCUUCGACGAGUCGAGUAGUUUGGGAAUGCUGCUCUAAAUGGGAGGUACAUUUCUUCUAAAGCUAAAUAUUGGCCAGAGACCGAUAGCGCACAAGUAGAGUGAUCGAAAGAUGAAAAGCACUUUGAAAAGAGGGUUAAACAGCACGUGAAAUUGUUAAAAGGGAAGCGCUUGUGACCAGACUUGCGUCCGGUGAAUCACCCAGCUCUCGCGGCUGGGGCACUUCGCCGGCACAGGCCAGCAUCAGCUUGCCGUCGGGGACAAAAGCUUCAGGAACGUGGCUCCUCUCGGGGAGUGUUAUAGCCUGUUGCACAAUACCCUUCGGCGGGCUGAGGUACGCGCUCCGCAAGGAUGCUGGCGUAAUGGUCAUCAGCGACCCGUCUUGAAACACGGACCAAGGAGUCAACCUUAUGUGCGAGUGUUUGGGUGUUAAACCCCUACGCGUAAUGAAAGUGAACGCAGGUGAGAGCUUCGGCGCAUCAUCGACCGAUCCUGAUGUUCUCGGAUGGAUUUGAGUAAGAGCAUAUAGGGUUGGACCCGAAAGAAG